GAUGAACGCUGGCGGCGUGCCUAAUACAUGCAAGUCGAGCGAACAGACGAGGAGCUUACUCCUCUGACGUUAGCGGCGGACGGGUGAGUAACACGUGGAUAACCUACCUAUAAGACUGGGAUAACUUCGGGAAACCGGAGCUAAUACCGGAUAACAUGUUGAACCGCAUGGUUCAACAGUGAAAGACGGUCUUGCUGUCACUUAUAGAUGGAUCCGCGUCGCAUUAGCUAGUUGGUAAGGUAACGGCUUACCAAGGCAACGAUGCGUAGCCGACCUGAGAGGGUGAUCGGCCACACUGGAACUGAGACACGGUCCAGACUCCUACGGGAGGCAGCAGUAGGGAAUCUUCCGCAAUGGGCGAAAGCCUGACGGAGCAACGCCGCGUGAGUGAAGAAGGUCUUCGGAUCGUAAAACUCUGUUAUUAGGGAAGAACAAAUGUGUAAGUAACUAUGCACGUCUUGACGGUACCUAAUCAGAAAGCCACGGCUAACUACGUGCCAGCAGCCGCGGUAAUACGUAGGUGGCAAGCGUUAUCCGGAAUUAUUGGGCGUAAAGCGCGCGUAGGCGGUUUUUUAAGUCUGAUGUGAAAGCCCACGGCUCAACCGUGGAGGGUCAUUGGAAACUGGAAAACUUGAGUGCAGAAGAGGAAAGUGGAAUUCCAUGUGUAGCGGUGAAAUGCGCAGAGAUAUGGAGGAACACCAGUGGCGAAGGCGACUUUCUGGUCUGUAACUGACGCUGAUGUGCGAAAGCGUGGGGAUCAAACAGGAUUAGAUACCCUGGUAGUCCACGCCGUAAACGAUGAGUGCUAAGUGUUAGGGGGUUUCCGCCCCUUAGUGCUGCAGCUAACGCAUUAAGCACUCCGCCUGGGGAGUACGACCGCAAGGUUGAAACUCAAAGGAAUUGACGGGGACCCGCACAAGCGGUGGAGCACGUGGUUUAAUUCGAAGCAACGCGAAGAACCUUACCAAAUCUUGACAUCCUCUGACCCCUCUAGAGAUAGAGUUUUCCCCUUCGGGGGACAGAGUGACAGGUGGUGCAUGGUUGUCGUCAGCUCGUGUCGUGAGAUGUUGGGUUAAGUCCCGCAACGAGCGCAACCCUUAAGCUUAGUUGCCAUCAUUAAGUUGGGCACUCUAAGUUGACUGCCGGUGACAAACCGGAGGAAGGUGGGGAUGACGUCAAAUCAUCAUGCCCCUUAUGAUUUGGGCUACACACGUGCUACAAUGGACAAUACAAAGGGUAGCGAAACCGCGAGGUCAAGCAAAUCCCAUAAAGUUGUUCUCAGUUCGGAUUGUAGUCUGCAACUCGACUACAUGAAGCUGGAAUCGCUAGUAAUCGUAGAUCAGCAUGCUACGGUGAAUACGUUCCCGGGUCU
This 1372-nucleotide ribosomal RNA is filed under the name uncultured bacterium. RNAcentral describes it as "bacterial SSU rRNA". It matches the Rfam family "Bacterial small subunit ribosomal RNA", at positions 28 to 1381 of the family's 1533-position model. The record is from RNAcentral.